This 540-nucleotide ribosomal RNA is filed under the name uncultured bacterium. RNAcentral describes it as "bacterial SSU rRNA". It matches the Rfam family "Bacterial small subunit ribosomal RNA", at positions 777 to 1315 of the family's 1533-position model. The record is from RNAcentral.
AAUAGAUACCCGGGUAGUCCACCCCGUAAACGUUGGGAACUAGUUGUGGGGUCCUUUCCACGGAUUCCGUGACGCAGCUAACGCAUUAAGUUCCCCGCCUGGGGAGUACGGCCGCAAGGCUAAAACUCAAAGGAAUUGACGGGGACCCGCACAAGCGGCGGAGCAUGCGGAUUAAUUCGAUGCAACGCGAAGAACCUUACCAAGGCUUGACAUACACGAGAACACUCUGGAAACAGGGGACUCUUUGGACACUCGUGAACAGGUGGUGCAUGGUUGUCGUCAGCUCGUGUCGUGAGAUGUUGGGUUAAGUCCCGCAACGAGCGCAACCCUCGUUCUAUGUUGCCAGCACGUUAUGGUGGGAACUCAUGGGAUACUGCCGGGGUCAACUCGGAGGAAGGUGGGGAUGACGUCAAAUCAUCAUGCCCCUUAUGUCUUGGGCUUCACGCAUGCUACAAUGGCCGGUACAAAGGGCUGCAAUACCGUGAGGUGGAGCGAAUCCCAAAAAGCCGGUCCCAGUUCGGAUUGAGGUCUGCAACUCGA